Molecule: long non-coding RNA, 762 nt
Organism: Anopheles darlingi
Lineage: Eukaryota; Metazoa; Arthropoda; Insecta; Diptera; Culicidae
Exons: 3
Source: RefSeq, a predicted model, not a curated record
UGGUAAGAUGAGAGGCUCCCCUACGGUUCUACUACAACGAGAUGCAACAAACUAUUGCAUUCACACCGUUGCAUCACCCCUGCCAUCGCAAAGCCGGUCUUUUGCCGCCGUCCAUCAGCUGGGAUCGUACUAGAAUCACUGCGCUCUUCGUGACUCAAGGCCUCCGAUCAACGAGCCAAGUGGGCACACGAGACCAGCUGCUCUCGUGUUCCGACAGAUCCGGAGAAAGACGGGAAGGAUGAGCAAACCACCGUACCAAAUUCGUUGUCAGCGAUAUAUUCCGCCAGACCGGUGGAGCGGCAUGGUCCACGAAAUACGAUGAAAACAAACAAUUCUUCCUCCACCAUACCGGAUAGUAUACACGAGCAGUUACAGUGAGGCAGCAAGCCAGCUGUUUGUCACUGGCGUCAUUCGUGUCGGCUGCACCACAACAACAGCAUGUCCGUUUCGACCCAUACCGAUGGCUGGCAGACCGAUCAGUGGAAAAGAUUCUUGAGGAGCGAUGUAUUCGUUGGAUUCGAACGCGAUAAUCGGAAAGUUUGAAAUCGAACCGGUUUCAAAAUGAUCAAAUACGAUACAGACACGCAGCACACGAGAUAGCGACACACACACACACACGCGCCUAAGAAUCAUUAGCUUUAUCGAAUGCCCUUGAUAGUCGUUAUUAAGCCCAGAAACCCAAGGAGUGGGGAGUCUGAUGUUAAUUAUCCUACGUCAUCCCUGAUAAGAUGGAUAACGGUAGGGCCUGUAAGCCAGCCCGCC